GAUGGUAAGAUCUACAGGUUAGAGUGGAGGAACCAGAAGAAUUUUAGAGAUGGGAAUGAUGUAGAAAUUAAAAAACAAGGGAAGAGAAACCUGAGAGGCUUCGCAGGAGAGGAUGGCUCAGAGACCCAAAGCUCUGUGCGAGACGAUCAGAGACAGUCUGGGUGUGAAACCAAUGAAAAGAUUCAGACACGGGGGCAAAGAACCCAGAGCAAGCGCAGAGACACUGCUACAGAAAUCCAGGAUGUUGGGGUCCCGAGAAAUUGCAGAGCUGGGGAUUCUAAACUGCCUCAUCCAUCCAGGAGAGGAGACCGGGUCAGCAGGAAGGAUGCUGUCAGGGCCAGUCCCCCAAAUGGCUCUUCUGGGAGAGUGGGGUUCACAAGCCGGAAGUGCAGCUUGGCUCAGCCGGCCUCUCUCACUUCCGGAUAUGGAACCCCCAGACACAAGCAACCAGUGGCUGGAAAUGGUGUAGACUCUGCUCCUUGUUCUGAAGGACAUCUAAGUAGCCAGGGCACAGCUCCUGCCUGGAAGCACAGACGUAAGGUCAGUGAAAGGACCCAGAGGGUCAAACCUGGAUCUCAAAGACAAGAAAAGGACAAAAGGAUGGAUCCAGAAAAGGCUUCCAGCUCGACCUGCCAGCACCCGUAUCCACAGUCUCCAGCAUCCUCUGUCUUUCCCUCUCUCCUAUGUCCCCAAGUCUCCCAAGCUGCCCCAGCUCUAGCAUGCCUACCAGUUGCACUCACCACCCCUCACAAAUGGCCAGUCCUCAAGAAGAGCAAACAACUGCUCCUGGAAUCCCUCAUGAAGAGGAGGAUUGCACAUCUGAGAUGGGGCCUCCCUCGACGAAUCCUGGAGUCUUACUUGCUUUUUCACUUCUUAGAAUCUUGCUCAUUGCCGCGGGCUGGAGCGAGGCUGCCUGGAUUACGCCCAGACCAGGAACGCCAAAGGCAGCAGGAACGACAUUGUGCGUCCCAGGCAUCCCUGUUAGGCCUUGGGUCUCCAGCCAGCUCUCGAAGCCGUCCAGUUCUUGAAAAAAAAAGCUCUAAACUUUGUACCCAAGUCCAGACUCUUGAGAAGCGUAGACCAACCGAAUCAGAGCCAAUGGGCAGUUCCAUUCCACCUAAGAAACCCAGGAGAAUAAGGCCACCAGGGGGAGCAAGAGAACCACAGAUCCAGGAAGCGGCCACUAAGGCCAAAGUCCCUGCUCCCAGGAAUCUCAGGCCCACAGUAGAGUCUAGGAGCUGGCAUAACCCAGGAGCAGUCCCAGAGCUUUCCAUUGAGAACAGCAGAAGCAGAAGAAUGGC
RNAcentral lists this long non-coding RNA (1301 nucleotides) under Rattus norvegicus (Norway rat). RNAcentral describes it as "long non-coding RNA NONRATT026159". The record is from RNAcentral. Lineage: Eukaryota; Metazoa; Chordata; Mammalia; Rodentia; Muridae.